CCUACGGGGGGCAGCAGUGGGGAAUAUUGCACAAUGGGGGAAACCCUGAUGCAGCGACGCCGCGUGAGUGAAGAAGUAAUUCGUUACGUAAAGCUCUAUCUGCAGGGAAGAAAAUUACGGUACCUGAGUAAGAAGCCCCGGCGAAAUACGUGCCAGCAGCCGCGGUAAAACGUAGGCGGCAAGCGUUAUCCGGAUUUACCGGGUGUUAAGGGAGCGUAGGCGGUGCGCGAAGUCUGGAGUGAAAUGCCGCAGUUUAAAUGCGGAACUGCUUUGGAAACUGGCGAACUAGAGUUCGGGAGGGGUAAGCGGAAUGCGUAGUGUAGCGGUGAAAUGCUUAGAUAUUAGGCGGAACACCGGUGGCGAAGGCGGCUUACUGGACCGUAACUGACGUUGAGGCUCGAAAGCGUGGGGAGCAAACAGGAUUAGAUACCCGAGUAGUC
RNAcentral lists this ribosomal RNA (440 nucleotides) under uncultured bacterium. RNAcentral's name for it is "partial 16S ribosomal RNA". It matches the Rfam family "Bacterial small subunit ribosomal RNA", at positions 338 to 795 of the family's 1533-position model. The record is from RNAcentral.